GUAGGUGAACCUGCGGAAGGAUCAUUACGAAUUGUAGGCCGGUCUGACCGGUUCUAUUCUACCCUGUUUUUUGCGCACCUUCUGUUUCCUCGGUAGGCUUGCCUGCCGAUAGGACAUUUUUAAAACACUUUUUGCAUAAGCAGUCAGCGUCGAAAUACAAAAUAAAUUGUAACAACUUUCAACAACGGAUCUCUUGGUUCUGGCAUCGAUGAAGAACGCAGCAUCUGACUGACUUCAGGUUGCGGAAUCU
This 250-nucleotide unclassified non-coding RNA is filed under the name plant metagenome. RNAcentral describes it as "partial contains small subunit ribosomal RNA, internal transcribed spacer 1, and 5.8S ribosomal RNA". The stretch from base 174 to 250 matches the Rfam family "5.8S ribosomal RNA", at positions 1 to 63 of the family's 154-position model. The record is from RNAcentral.